GUCACCUCUAGUGCCUGGAGGCAGUCAGCUGCUGUGAGCUGAAUGCUGAUUGGCUAUGCGGCAGACUGUCGCCGCUGUUGCUGCCGCUGGUGGUGCCCAUGUCCGCGCUCCCGUGCAAAAAAUAAGAAAUUUACCGUGAUACCCUAUAGUUUCUGUCGUGAUUGAUUCGUGAUUUUAACGGCUGACAUAUCUUGAUAUCGGAUCAUCUACGGAAGUUUUCUUCAGGAUUACUUUGUGUGGAUCAUCCUCCCUGUGAGCGCGCUCUGGCCAGCACCAGUGGUGACCCUCCAUCCAGUGGUGACCCUCUGACUGGUGACCGACCGCUGGUGACCCGCAGUGUCAGUGUCAGUGUCAGUGUGUUAGUGGUGAGUGCUGGCGCGUCGCCCCAUGCUCGAAUGGGAAGGCAACAAUGGAAACGGAGACGGAGACAACCUGUCCUUCGAGGACUCGGACAGGUUUGAGGAGGACAGUCUGUGCUCGUGGGUCUCGGAGCAGGAGUCGGUCUGCACCAACUGGCGCGGCUGGAAGAGACCGACUGUGAGCCGACUGCCGCCGCCGCCCUCCGCAUUCUACUCCAGCAAAGACGAAGGUCAGUCCCCUCAGAUUGGAAGAGAGAGGUUGAUAGGGAUGGGGAAAGGAAAAGAACGGCGGAGCGAGAUGGAUGGUCGAACAUGAGCAAGCGGAUUAAUGAAAUAGUGAAGGAAUAUAAAGGUGAAUGUUAUUUAGAGGAGUGAAGGGGAAUAUCUGGGCGAAUAGGGGUAAACAAGCGGCUGCGCCACUUGCUUCGCGGCGUAGCCAGAAAAUGCGGCAGCAGCCGAUUUGCUUUCGAAUGGUGUAUGAAUUAAAUUGAUCGGUCGUCUGGAAGCAGAGAUAUGGACGGAAACGUGCCGAGGAAAUUUUUGAACAUAAAAAGUAUUCUGAGGGCUUAGCUGGAUGAAAUUUGGGUCAUACAGGGUCACGUCAGGUCAAGUUGGUCAUCCCUGGUCACUUUCGGUCAGGCCAGGUCGGAUAGGUCACCACGUCACAUUGGAUCGGCCUGUACCACACUUCUACUACUUCUACCCAUACAACUACUCCUACCACUACCCCUACCACUACCCCUACACCUACCACUACCCCUACUACUACCCCUACCACUACUACUACCCCUACCCCUAAACCUACCCCUACCCCAUACCAAUACAUCUACCACUACCCCUACCACUACCCCUACUCCUACCCCUACCACUACCCCUACCCCUACCACUACCCCUACCACUACCACUACCACUACCCCUACUACUGCCCCUACCACUAACCCUACCACUACCACUAUCCCUACCACUACCCCUACCCAGGGUUACUUUUAAAGGGGGGGAAAGGGGGAAUUUCCCCCCUUCGAAAAUUCCGCUCCCCCUUUCAAAUUGUGCGUGAACGGCUGGGGAGGGAAGGGGGAAUUUCCCCCUUUCAAAUUUAUUUUUGAGCCCAUUUUCAAUCAAUUCGCUACUCAGAUUCUCUAAUCAUCGUUGAUCAGACUCUAGUCAUCAAUCAACGUUGCUGGCGCUUAGAUAAUUUUCAAUUUGAGGCACCAUCCAACCAUUUUACGUUCAGUGCAGCGGGAACUCCAGAUUUGACCCGAUACCGAUCGGAUGGUCGGUGGGACCGUCUCUUGUCUUGUCUCUUUCGUCUCUUCGCAAUCAUUGACAUAUCGCUACAGGCGACGGCGUAGAAACCGGCGGGGGACGGGGGUCAUGACCUCUCCGAACCAAGGGUCUUCCUUCGAACCAGGAUCCUUCAAUCGGUCUUGGCCUAGCAAAAAAAAGUCACGUGUUAACCUCUCUCUAUUAAGAAAGGCGCUACUUGAUGUUUGGCCUGGGUAAUAGGUUGAUACUACUGAUUGACAUUUGCAAGCGCGCAGUCAAGUUGGGACCUCCCCCGCCCCUUACCGCCAAGGUAGAUACCUACGUAUAUUUUUUUAUCUUUUUUUUUGGCAACCUAACAAUAUAAAGUGGCCAGAAUCCGGGGAGAGAGUAGGAUUUGGGGUAGGUAAAGUUCUGCAGGCGCCAUCCUAACAAAAACCUAAUGGCAUUGGGCCCCCCUUUCAGAUGCCCCUGGAUCCGCCCUUGCCCCGAACUUUAUUCCCCAUCUCGACUUUUCCUGUAAAAGUAACCCUGCCCCUACCCCUACUACUACCACUACUCCUACCCCUACUACUACCAUUGCUCCUACCACUAUCACUACCACUACACCCACUACUUCCCCUACCACUAUUACCAUCACUACUACUGGGUCAUGUGAGGUCACAGAUUAAUUGAAUCCAAUAAGUAGGAACUAAAAAAAAAAAACAGAUAAAUAAUACACUAAAACAGUA
This 2350-nucleotide long non-coding RNA is filed under the name Amphibalanus amphitrite. RNAcentral's name for it is "uncharacterized LOC122376414". Lineage: Eukaryota; Metazoa; Arthropoda; Thecostraca; Balanomorpha; Balanidae. The record is from RNAcentral.